GACGAACCAAGCGAACGUUGUUCGGAAUCACUGGGCUUAAAGGGCGCGUAGGCGGGCUGUCAAGUCUGGGGUGAAAUCCCACGGCUCAACCGUGGAACUGCCUCAGAUACUGACGGCCUCGAGGGAGGUAGGGGCGAGCGGAACGGGUGGUGGAGCGGUGAAAUGCGUUGAUAUCACUCGGAACUCCGGUGGCGAAAGCGGCUCGCUGGAUCUCUUCUGACGCUGAGGCGCGAAAGCUAGGGGAGCAAACGGG
RNAcentral lists this ribosomal RNA (253 nucleotides) under uncultured bacterium. Its description in RNAcentral is "partial 16S ribosomal RNA". It matches the Rfam family "Bacterial small subunit ribosomal RNA", at positions 524 to 776 of the family's 1533-position model. The record is from RNAcentral.